GUCAGAGGCAAAUUGCCCACUGAGAGGGAGAGAGUGGUGCGUGGUGGAUGGGUACUGAGGAAAGAGGUGCAUAUUGGAUGUCCAAGACACAGCAGUGAGAGUCACCUGGGGUCACAGAAAAGAUGCACCAGAAGGAGGAAGAGCCCAGCUAGGCUGGAGAAGAUGCAUCAGCAUGGCCCCCCUGGCCCGUUUGUGGGAUUUUUCUCCAUCAGGGCUCAGCUGCCCAAGAGCAGAAGCAGAGAAGCCCCCCAGCACAUAGUUGCAUAUUCUUCGUUGUGGGUCCUUCUACUUGUGACAUGUGGGACGCUGCCUCAGCGUGGUUUGAUGAGCAGCGUCAUGUCCCCGCCCAGGAUUCGAACCAACGAAACACUACGCCGCCUGCAGCGGAGCGCGAGCGAACUUAACCACUCGGCCACGGGGCCAGCCCCCCAAAUGCUUUUGAAAGGACAGUGGCACUCUUCAGGGUGUCCCCUUGCUCCUGCUCACCUUCUAUAUGCAUGCAUGGUCCACCGCCACACCAUGCUGUGAAGUGACAAGAAUGACAGCAUUUGCAGGAAAUGUACAUUGCAACAUGACAAAGCAAGAAACACCUUUUGCAAAAAGCGUUAGAAGUUAAAGGACUGGCUGGUAAUGCCUCGGACAUCAGUUCUUAUCCUUCUGCUUUUGCAGUUGCUGAAUGUUGAAACAAGUCAGCUUGAAGUCGGGUAAUAAAUGGAUUCCAGCUUGAAUCUUGGCAGGAUUUGUUUUGCUUGAGGGAAGUUGUUUAUGCUAAGGGGUGCCCCCCCUGCAUAGUUCGAUUUAUAUUAUACAAAGUCUUGUCCAUCAUCUGGAUGCUGUUGUAAACAAUGUAAUCUUUGUCUACCAGGAAUGAGCCCAAUGCCAAUAACUUUAAAUAAACACAAGCACCAGUUUUGUAUUUACAUUGUCUGAGGCAAGCGCUGGCAGGAGUUUUUAAUGGCGCCGUCGGCCCCUCCCUGCCUAAGGUAGUGUCGGCUGUCGGGACUGACCUGAUUUGUGGAGAACUCACUCAGGGAAAGAUUUCAUACUUAGCAGAUGAGUGCGACACCCAGCCUGCAUUCUUUUGUGGGGUUUU
Molecule: long non-coding RNA, 1093 nt
Filed under: Equus asinus (donkey)
Lineage: Eukaryota; Metazoa; Chordata; Mammalia; Perissodactyla; Equidae
Description: lncRNA (ENSEASG00005036325.1)
Source: RNAcentral